Molecule: non-coding RNA, 28 nt
Filed under: Rattus norvegicus (Norway rat)
Lineage: Eukaryota; Metazoa; Chordata; Mammalia; Rodentia; Muridae
Source: RNAcentral
UCCCAGACUUCUGGUUUCCUGCAUUUGU